This is a non-coding RNA of Callithrix jacchus (white-tufted-ear marmoset), 4150 nucleotides long. The record is from RefSeq and is a predicted model, not a curated record. Lineage: Eukaryota; Metazoa; Chordata; Mammalia; Primates; Cebidae.
GAUAUAUAUAUUUUUGUUUGUACAAAUUUAUGAGGUACAUGCGAAAUUUUGUUACAUAUGUAUAUGGUGUAGUGAUCAAGUCAGGGUAUUUAGCAUGACUAUCAUUGGAAUAAGACAUUUUUGUUGAAGAUAGUCACCCUACUCUGCCAUCUAACAUUGCAUUUAUUCCAUCUAUCUUACUCUGUGUUUGUACCCUUUAACCCAUUUCUUUUUGACCUCCCCUUGAUCCCCUCACCUCAUCUUUCCCUAUCUGUUAUCUGUCUUUCCAUUUCCACCUCCAUGUGGUCAAAUUUUUUAGCUUUUCCGUGUGAGACUAUGCGAUACUUUUUUUGUGUGUGCCUGGCUUAUUUUACUUAAGUUAAUGACUAACAGUUUCAUCCACGUUGCUGAAAAUGACAUGAUUUUAUCUGUCCAAUGAGUUGUUUAGGCUAGCACCCUGGUUAAGACCAGAAUUUGGACUCAGGCUGCCUGGUUUUGAAUCCUGUUUCUGGCCCUUUUAAGUACAUAACGUCUCAAUGCUUUAGUUUCCACAUUUAUAAAAUGAGUAUAAUACUAACUAUAUAGCUCAUGGGGUUGUUGUGAGGAUUAGAUGAAUUCAUGUGGGUAGAGUGCAGGCACAUAGGUUAUAUUAUUACCGAUGCUUAAAUAUAUAAAAGAGAGUGUAUUUGAACACUAGGUAGCAGAGAAAGUUGAGCCUAACAAAUCCUUGAACUGUAUGAUGUAAAGUCUAUAUAUGUCUCUAUUUUGACCUUGCAGGUAAUGUAGCAAUUUAUUAAGAACAUUUUGAGGUUUUGGGAAACUCCACAGGAAGUGGAAAUGGUCUCUCCCUGGCCGGCUUGCGCGCCGGAUUACAUCACCCGCCUUGCACUGGGGAGGGGUAUGAUGGCUGCCCUCAGUAUUGCCUGCACAAAUAUCUACCAGGUCUGCAAUUAAUAUAGUUCCCGCAACUUUGCACCAUGUUUUCCCAUAAGCCUACCGACAGGCACUAUGCAGAUUCAAGCAGAGAGAAGUCCAAGCAGUGAGGCCGCUGUUGCACUGGCCACCCUGAGCCCCUCGUCGGCCUUCCCGCCUCGGCUUCCUGGCCCCACACUAGGACCCCUGCAGCCGAUCAGGUGGCAGCCAGGGCAAUUUCCUUCCUGUUUUGGCAAGAUGGCGGGAGGAGAAGCUGGAGUGACUUUGGGACAGCCGCAACUUACCACCUUGGUUGUUAGCAAUGCUGGGAUUACAGGCGUGAGCCACCGUGCCCGGCCGACGCCACUUUCACACGAAGUUAUCAGCAGACAAGCCACGUACAAUUGGUCAUGUAGCUUAUGGGAAAUCCACAGUUGUCAAAGCUAUUUCUGGAGUUCACACGGUCAGAUUCAAAAAUGAACUAGAAAGAAAUAUUACAAUCAAGCUUGGAUAUGCCAGUGCUAAGAUUUAUAAACUUGAUGACCCAAGUUGCCCUCGGCCAGUAUGUUGUAGAUCUUGAGGGAGCAGUACACCUGAUGAGUUUCCUACAGAUAUUCCAGGGACCAAAGGGAACUUCAAAUUAGUCAGACAUGUUUCCUUUGUUGACUGUCCUGGCCAUGAUAUUUUGAUGGCUACUAUGCUGAAUGGUGCAGCAGGGAUGGAUGCAGCUCUUCUGUUGAUAGUUGGUAAUGAAUCUUGCCCUCAGCCUCAGACAUCUGAACACCUAGCUGCUAUAGAAAUCAUGAAACUGAAGCAUAUUUUGAUUCUACAAAAUAGAAUUGAUUUGGUAAAAGAAACGCCAAAGAACAAUACGAGCAGAUCCCUGCUUUUGUCCAAGGUACAGUAGCAGAGGGAGCUCCCAUUAUUCCAAUUUCGGCUCAGCUGAAAUACAAUAUUGAAGUUGUUUGUGAGAACAUAAUAAAGAAAAUUCCAGUACCCCCAAGAGACUUUACUUCAGAGCCCCGCGUUAUUGUUAUUAGGUCAACAAAUUUGUUACCGAUGUUGAUGUCAACAAACCUGGCUGUGAAGUUGAUGACCUUCAGGGGGGUGUAGCUGGUGGUAGUAUCCUAAAAGGAGUAUUAAAGGUGGGCCGGGAGAUAGAAGUAAGACCUGGUACUGUUUCCAAGGAUAGUUAAGGAAAACUCAUGUGUAAACCAAUCUUUUCCAAAAUUGUAUCCCUUUUUGUGGAGCAUAAUGAUCUGCAAUAUGCUGCUCCAGGCGAUCUUAUUGGAGUUGGAACAAAAAUUGACCCCACUUUGUGCUGGGCUGACAGAAUGGAGGGGCAGGUACUUGGUGCAGUUGGAGCCUUACCUGAGAUAUUCACAGAAUUGGAAAUUUCCUAUUUCCUAUUUCCUGCUUAGACGGCUUCUAGGUGUAAGCACUGAAAGAGACAAGAAAGCAGCAAAGGCUCAAAAGCUGUCUAAGAAUGAAGUAUUCAUGGUGAACAUAGGGUCCCUGUCAACAGGAGGGAGAGUUAGUGCUGUCAAGGCCGAUUUGGGUAAAAUUGUUUUGACCAAGCCAGUGUGCACAGAGGUAGGAGAAAAAAUUGCCCUUAGCCGAAGAGUUGAAAAACACUGGCAUUUAAUUGGUUGGGGUCAGAUAAGAGGAGGAGUGACAAUCAAGCCAACAGUAGAUGAUGACUGAUGAACACCAGUUAAAUAAUACAUUUGGAUGGAGUUGGAAGUUGGAAUUUCCCUUAACAACCAAGGAGUUUAUUUUCAAAGCAAUAUUGGGGAAUUUAUUUACAGUUUGUUACCUUAGUAGAUAGUUGUAAGAUUAUUCUCAUGUUUUUGGUUAUGAAAACUUAGGGACUGAAAUUAAUAUAAAAGUUGGCAUAAUGUUGGAUUGAAUCUAUAUUUUGAGAGAAGCAUUCCCAUAUAAUGUCACAAUUAUAUAUCAUGCAGUUUUGUUCUGUAUGUCUUGUUUUGUUUUGUUUUUGAGUCUGGCUUUGUCACCCAGGGUGGAGGGCAGUGGCCUGAUCUGCAACCUCUGCCUUCCGGGUUCAAGCAGCCUUUGAAGUAGCUGAGAUUACAGGUGUGUGCCACCACACUUGGCUAAUUCUUGUAUUUUUAGGAGAGACAGGGUUUUGACAUGUUGGCCAGGCUGGUCUCUCCUGACCUCAGAAUGAUCACCCCACCUUGGCCUCCCAAAGUGCUGGGAUUACAGGCGUAAGCCACCUUGCCCUACCCAUAUCAUACAGUUUGAAAUGAAUUUUUGCUACAACCAGCCUUUGCUUUAGCGCGCACGCACGCGCACACACACACACCACUGAACCUAUCUGAAAUAAAGUUUUAUUUUCGUGAUUCCUCUUUGAAUAGCUCCAGCCGAUGGGACUGUUGUACCAGUGAAAACUUAAAGAGACAGAUUCUCCUUGAAGAACUUCUCCCUUUUCUUUGGCUCCAUAUUUUUUAUUGCUUUAUCUUUGAAAUUUUGCAUGAAAAGGAUAUUAAUGGGUUCAAAUCAAAUUGUUCUUUAGAGAUUUUAGAAAUUGUUCCUAUGGACAAAUCUUUUAUUUCUCUUGCUCUUCCUGGCCUGAAACACAGGAAACCAGAGUCAGAAGUUAUCUUUCUUUCCUUGUGAUGGCUUGACAUUUUUUCUGCAUUGUUUUAUGCCUGAAAUCCAUCUUCCUCCAUUGGAAAAUACUGUUAUACCAAAUAAUUCUAGAUGAGUAACAAAGAUCUUUCUAGCCCUUCAUUUUAUGUGUGUUUUUUUUUAACUGUUACAUUAUGAUCAUAACACACGUUGUAAUAUUACUAAUUUUUGGACAUUCCAAAAAGCCAGGAAGUAAAAGGUGUUAGAAAGCAAUAACUGAGUCAAGAUGCCCCACAGAGAUUCUAGUUUAAUUGUUGUGAUUUAAUUGGCUUGGAGUAGAAUUCAGGCAUUGGUAUCUUUAACAACUCUCCUCAGUGUUGAGAAAUUUAGAGAGUUGAGAAGUAGGUAUAUUAAAUUACGGAAUCUCACUGAGUUUUGAAAGUCUGAUAAUACAGUUUGCUUUGCUUUUCUUAAAUUUGCAUUGAGAUGGGAUUUGAAGCAUAUUGUGCUCUUUUGAAUGUUGAAGUUGCAUUGUAGAAGUUGAGAACCUCUGGCUAUGGGUUAUCUAAGUUGAUGUUUUGAGGACACAUUAAUGUUACAUACUUGGCUGACUUUGAAGGUUGUGUUGUGGCAUGAGGAACACAAAUAAAACAAUUCUACAUCAAAC